RNAcentral lists this ribosomal RNA (798 nucleotides) under uncultured bacterium. RNAcentral's name for it is "bacterial SSU rRNA". It matches the Rfam family "Bacterial small subunit ribosomal RNA", at positions 131 to 932 of the family's 1533-position model. The record is from RNAcentral.
UUUCACAGAGGGAUAGCCCAGAGAAAUUUGGAUUAAUACCUCAUAGUAUAGCAGUUUCGCAUGAAACCACUAUUAAAGUCACAACGGUGAAAGAUGAGCAUGCGUCCCAUUAGCUAGUUGGUAAGGUAACGGCUUACCAAGGCAACGAUGGGUAGGGGUCCUGAGAGGGAGAUCCCCCACACUGGUACUGAGACACGGACCAGACUCCUACGGGAGGCAGCAGUGAGGAAUAUUGGACAAUGGGCGCAAGCCUGAUCCAGCCAUGCCGCGUGCAGGAUGACGGUCCUAAGGAUUGUAAACUGCUUUUGUACAGGAAGAAACACCUCUACGUGUAGAGACUUGACGGUACUGUAAGAAUAAGGAUCGGCUAACUCCGUGCCAGCAGCCGCGGUAAUACGGAGGAUCCAAGCGUUAUCCGGAAUCAUUGGGUUUAAAGGGUCCGUAGGCGGUUUAGUAAGUCAGUGGUGAAAGCCCAUCGCUCAACGGUGGAACGGCCAUUGAUACUGCUAGACUUGAAUUAUUAGGAAGUAACUAGAAUAUGUAGUGUAGCAGUGAAAUGCUUAGAGAUUACAUGGAAUACCAAUUGCGAAGGCAGGUUACUACUAAUUGAUUGACGCUGAUGGACGAAAGCGUGGGUAGCGAACAGGAUUAGAUACCCUGGUAGUCCACGCCGUAAACGAUGGAUACUAGCUGUUGGGCGCAAGUUCAGUGGCUAAGCGAAAGUGAUAAGUAUCCCACCUGUGGAGUACGUUCGCAAGAAUGAAACUCAAAGGAAUUGACGGGGGCCCGCACAAGCGG